CCCAUCUUCCUCGUUGCCCCUCUCCCCUGGUCGCACAGUAGCACGCCGACGUUCCUCCUCCACCCGUGCUUUGACCGCAUCGCUUUUUGCUGCGCAAGAAAAUCGCGCCGGCCAAGAAAUAGAGAGGUGGUGAUAGCAAUCCGGUGUUCCCAUGGGUUGCCAGUCUCCAUCUAUUUCGCGUCGAUUUGGAAGACCCCACCCAAAUUGACUGCUUCUUCUCCGGUCAUGGCGCCGGCACGGGUCGGAUGGUGGGCAGGCAGCAAAGCGGACUCCCCCCAUGCGGGCCUACGAUUCGUUGAUUCGCCUUUCGACCAGGUUCAACUUCCGACGAACGCCUCCCCUUCCAUUCGUUUGGGCGUUAUCGUAACCAUUAUCUGCAAAUUGAAACCGUCGGCGUCGUAAUCAUGGUGGUAUUGCCAUGCAUGUUCAUCUGAGAUUUUUAUUCAGGGCCUCAGGGGCCGCUGCGUGACCUUCAUCUACAACCAUGUCUUCUGGACAGGUACACUCAUUCAUACAAUUUGCUCUUUAUGAAUCCAUUUUAAUAUUUCUUACAUCUAUUGUUUACUUUCAGUUUCUUCUUUACUAUAUGCGAGAUGUUCAAUGUGUAGUCCAAAUGAAAUCUCACUUGGGGGCUUGUGAGAUAUUCAGAAAUUUUGGUUGGUUAACCAUGUUGCUAUUUAUUAUCGUCAGAUGUUGCUUUCUAGAUUUGUUCUCUUGUCGAUUUGAGUCAGGGAGGGAGCACAUAGCUUUUGCUUGAUUUGUUGAAGGAUUACUUACCUCCACUUUUCUUUGCCUGGUUGCAACCUUUAUACUUUAUUAAUUAAUGGGCCAUCCAUUCUUCAUAGACCCAACUGAGUGACUUAUGUAACCCUGUGCUCUUGCAGUGCUUUGGUUUCUCAAGAAAGCUUGCAGAGUUUCUUAAAUUAUGUCAACUUGUUGUCGUGUUGUUGGCCUGAAUAAGAAGAGCCAUACAUGUUCUAUACUGCAAAAAAAUCAUCAUAUUUUUUUCUCUUGCAACUUGAUGUGAUAUGUUUUUUGUAUUGAGAAACUAGCCUCUUGUCUUUGAAGUAGCAUGCGACAGAACGUUUGAGUGCUGAGAAUGUGUAGGACAUGCACACUCCAUCCACGACAUGGAGCUCCUCGCAGCCAUGCCCCAGGCUUACUAAUGGUCACCAAAGUUACAACCAUUGUGGAGAUGUCAUCUAUUUUGGCUGGUCUAUAUAAAAUGUGAAUUUCAUUAUGUCAAUGUGCAAGUACUCUACUGAUAUGAUAUAUAUUCUGGCCCCACAUGCGAAUGAGGCAUUUUCACCGGUUCUAAUCUAGGUGAUUGAGUCCCAGCUAAUAAGGAGAAUGAUCCAUUGAUUGUUGCCAGAUAAGCUAUCGCAGAUUUACUUACCCUUCUUAAUUUAACUAUGGAAUCUAUUAUUAUUUUACUCAUACUUUCUACUUUGAACAUAAUUCUGUACUGCCAGAUUCUUUUUCAAGACCUGCUCAAAAGGAAUAUUGCAUUUUUUUCGGUGGAACGUAUUCCCCAAAGUACAUGAUGCUGACCAUGGAAGAAUCAUCUUUGGUGAACUUCGAAGUAGAUCAUCUUCAAGCCAUAUCCAUCACUGGUUCUUAUCCUUCAGAUUGAAAAUUGGGGCAACAACUUCUUCGCGGAGGAAGAGCACGGAAUCAUCAAGCAUCCGAUCAGAGAGUAAAAACUAACUGAACACCAGUCAAUGACCAACAUGUGAUAACACUUACCUUGUCCUGGAUGAAGAGGAAAGGAUGGCCAACCAUAGGCCUUGAGUUGCAAUAUAAGCAACAAUUGACAGCUUGUGUGUGCUCAGCAAAAAUUUAACAUUUGUAUUAUGUCAUCUCAACUUAUACUAUGGAGUAGUAUAAGGAGAUACUGUAAAGUUUUAGCAACAUAACUGUUGGUUAGGUAAGUUUCAUUAUAUGUCUACUUGGAAAAUAAUUCUAGGUAUGUGGAGAGGGUGCAUCUUUUUUCGUGUUA
This is a long non-coding RNA of Lolium perenne, 1999 nucleotides long. RefSeq lists it as uncharacterized. The record is from RefSeq and is a predicted model, not a curated record. NCBI's taxonomy places the organism in Eukaryota, Viridiplantae, Streptophyta, Magnoliopsida, Poales, Poaceae.